Molecule: long non-coding RNA, 1012 nt
Organism: Bos taurus (domestic cattle)
Lineage: Eukaryota; Metazoa; Chordata; Mammalia; Artiodactyla; Bovidae
Source: Ensembl
GGAUAAAUUCAGAGUUUGGGAUUAAAAUAUACACAUUAUUGUAUAUAAAAUAGAUAACCAACUGCUGCUGCUGCUAAGUCGCUUCAGUCGUGUCCAACUCUGUGCGACCCUAGAGACAGCAGCCCACUAGGCUCCCCCGUCCCUGGGAUUCUCCAGGCAAGAACACUCGAGUGGGUUGCCAUUUCCUUCUUCAAUGCAUGAAAGUGAAAAGUGAAAGUGAAGUCAGUCAUGUCCGACUCUUCGAGACCCCAUGGACUGCAGCCUACCAGGCUCCUCCAUCAAUGGGAUUUUCCAGGCAAGAGUACUGCAGUGGGUUGCCACUGCCUUCUCCAAGAUAACCAACAAGGACCUACUAUAUAACAGAGGGAACUAUAUUCAAUAUCUUGAGAUAACCUAUAAUGGAAGAGAAAAAAAGAAUAUAUAUAUGUAUUUAUUUAUUGUGGUUGUUUGGUCACUGAGUCCUGUCUGACUUUUUUCAGACCCUAAGGAUUAUAGCUUGCCACUCUUCUCUGUCCAUGGGAUUUCCCAGGCAAGAAUACUGGAGUAGGUUGUCAUUUCCUAUCCAGGGGGUCUUCCUGACCCAGGGGUGGAACCCAUGCCUCCUGCAUUAGCAGACAGGUUUUUUACCACUGAGCCACCAGGGAAGUGCAUGUGUAUGUGUGUGUGUGUAUAUACACACACACACACACACAUAUCCAAAUCACUGGAAAAGACCCUGAUGCUGGGAAAGAUUGAGGGCAGGAGGAGAAGAUGAGAUGGUUGGAUGGCAUCACCGACUCAAUGGACAGGAGUCUGAGCAAACUCUGGGAGAGUGAAGGACAUGGAAGCCUGGUGUGCUGCAGUCCAUGGGGCCACAAAGAGUCAGCCAUGAUUUAGCCACUGAAUAACAACGUGUUAAUCACUAAUGUUCAUCGUCAGCAGGUGUGGAAGCAAGCCAACCAAAAGGGCCAGAGUCACACAACUGGUCAGAGGUGGAACCCAAGCUUGAACAUGUCUGUGAUUCCAACUCAAG